This 304-nucleotide unclassified non-coding RNA is filed under the name plant metagenome. Its description in RNAcentral is "partial contains small subunit ribosomal RNA, internal transcribed spacer 1, and 5.8S ribosomal RNA". The stretch from base 1 to 54 matches the Rfam family "Eukaryotic small subunit ribosomal RNA", at positions 1778 to 1831 of the family's 1831-position model. The record is from RNAcentral.
GGAAGUAAAAGUCGUAACGAGGUUUCCGUAGGUGAACCUGCGGAAGGAUCAUUGUCGAAACCUGCCCAGCAGAACGACCCGCGAACUUGUAUAAACAACCGGGGGCGGGGGGCGUUCUCGCCCCGUGCCCCCGAACGGCGGGGAGACACUCGUGCCUUCUUGCCGAACAACGAACCCCGGCGCGGUCUGCGCCAAGGAACUUCAACUAAAGAGUGCCUCCGGUCGCCUCGGAAACGGCGUGCGUGCCGGGGGCGAAUCUUGUGCAAAACCAUAACGACUCUCGGCAACGGAUAUCUCGGCUCUC